GACGAACGCUGGCGGCGUGCCUAAUACAUGCAAGUUGAGCGAUGAAGAUUGGUGCUUGCCCCAAUUUGAAGAGCAGCGAACGGGUGAGUAACGCGUGGGGAAUCUGCCUUUGAGCGGGGGACAACAUUUGGAAACGAAUGCUAAUACCGCAUAACAACUUUAAACAUAAGUUUUAAGUUUGAAAGAUGCAAUUGCAUCACUCAAAGAUGAUCCCGCGUUGUAUUAGCUAGUUGGUGAGGUAAAGGCUCACCAAGGCGAUGAUACAUAGCCGACCUGAGAGGGGGAUCGGCCAAGUUGGGACGGAGACACGGCCCAAACCCCUACGGGAGGCAGCAGUAGGGAAUCUUCGGCAAUGGACGAAAGUCUGACCGAGCAACGCCGCGUGAGUGAAGAAGGUUGUCGGAUCGUAAAACUCUGUUGGUAGAGAAGAACGUUGGUGAGAGUGGAAAGCUCAUCAAGUGACGGUAACUACCCAGAAAGGGACGGCUAACUACGUG
This 497-nucleotide ribosomal RNA is filed under the name uncultured bacterium. RNAcentral describes it as "partial 16S ribosomal RNA". It matches the Rfam family "Bacterial small subunit ribosomal RNA", at positions 28 to 507 of the family's 1533-position model. The record is from RNAcentral.